UACGAAGGGUGCAAGCGUUAAUCGGAAUUACUGGGCGUAAAGCGUGCGUAGGUGGUUUGUUAAGUCUGAUGUGAAAGCCCUGGGCUCAACCUGGGAAUUGCAUUGGAUACUGGCAGGCUAGAGUGCGGUAGAGGAUGGCGGAAUUCCCGGUGUAGCAGUGAAAUGCGUAGAGAUCGGGAGGAACAUCUGUGGCGAAGGCGGCCAUCUGGACCAGCACUGACACUGAGGCGCGAAAGCGUGGGGAGCAAACAGG
Molecule: ribosomal RNA, 253 nt
Filed under: uncultured bacterium
Lineage: Bacteria
Description: partial 16S ribosomal RNA
Rfam family: Bacterial small subunit ribosomal RNA
Source: RNAcentral